RNAcentral lists this long non-coding RNA (461 nucleotides) under Erythranthe guttata (spotted monkey flower). Its description in RNAcentral is "long non-coding RNA (EGUT_LNC002618)". Lineage: Eukaryota; Viridiplantae; Streptophyta; Magnoliopsida; Lamiales; Phrymaceae. The record is from RNAcentral.
ACAGUAGGAGUUUGUAAAUGAGAGUUGAUAAUUUUGUGAAAAAGAGAAAAAUGAUUCGCACAAAAACUUUUCCAAAGUUUGGAGAAUUUUUCUUUAAAAAAUUUGUAAAUUGGCAUAAACAUUCCUUCACAACAGAAGGAUCACAAGGACAGACAACCUCAACUAGACUAAGGAUUUUUCUUUGGUCAAGAAAUGCAGUGAUCCUAUGUCUAUCAAACUCAUCCUUGGAAAUUUUCUUUUCCUCAUUGAAUUGACAAUUCAUGAUUUGAGGACUCAAAUUUGAAUCAGAUUCAAAAUAAAAAAUAGGACUGAAGGCAUUGUUUACCGCAAACGGAGUUGACAAAUCCUUCCCAUCCAAGUCUAGCUCUUCUUCCUCAGAGGAUUCCUCUUCUUCUGAGUCUUCAAGUUCAUCUGGGAUGGAUGCUGGCUCAGGUGAUGCAACAGGUGGGACAACAUCUUCU